RNAcentral lists this ribosomal RNA (253 nucleotides) under uncultured bacterium. Its description in RNAcentral is "partial 16S ribosomal RNA". It matches the Rfam family "Bacterial small subunit ribosomal RNA", at positions 524 to 776 of the family's 1533-position model. The record is from RNAcentral.
UACGUAGGAUGCAAGCAUUAUCCGGAAUUAUUGGGCGUAAAGCGUCCGUAGGUGGCUAUUCAAGUCAGUUGUUAAAGCGUGGGGCUUAACUCCAUAAAGGCAAAUGAAACUGAUUAGCUAGAGUGCGAUAGGGGCAAGGGGAAUUUCCAGUGUAGCGGUGAAAUGCGUAGAUAUUGGAAAGAACACCGGUGGCGAAAGCGCCUUGCUGGGUCUGCACUGACACUGAGGGACGAAAGCUAGGGGAGCGAAAGGG